GAGUGGCGAACUGGUGAGUAACACGUGGGAAACCUGCCCAGAAGCGGGGGAUAACACCUGGAAACAGAUGCUAAUACCGCAUAACAACUUGGACCGCAUGGUCCGAGCUUGAAAGAUGGCUUCGGCUAUCACUUUUGGAUGGUCCCGCGGCGUAUUAGCUAGAUGGUGGGGUAACGGCUCACCAUGGCAAUGAUACGUAGCCGACCUGAGAGGGUAAUCGGCCACAUUGGGACUGAGACACGGCCCAAACUCCUACGGGAGGCAGCAGUAGGGAAUCUUCCACAAUGGACGAAAGUCUGAUGGAGCAACGCCGCGUGAGUGAAGAAGGGUUUCGGCUCGUAAAACUCUGUUGUUAAAGAAGAACAUAUCUGAGAGUAACUGUUCAGGUAUUGACGGUAUUUAACCAGAAAGCCACGGCUAACUACGUGCCAGCAGCCGCGGUAAUACGUAGGUGGCAAGCGUUGUCCGGAUUUAUUGGGCGUAAAGCGAGCGCAGGCGGUUUUUUAAGUCUGAUGUGAAAGCCUUCGGCUCAACCGAAGAAGUGCAUCGGAAACUGGGAAACUUGAGUGCAGAAGAGGACAGUGGAACUCCAUGUGUAGCGGUGAAAUGCGUAGAUAUAUGGAAGAACACCAGUGGCGAAGGCGGCUGUCUGGUCUGUAACUGACGCUGAGGCUCGAAAGUAUGGGUAGCAAACAGGAUUAGAUACCCUGGUAGUCCAUACCGUAAACGAUGAAUGCUAAGUGUUGGAGGGUUUCCGCCCUUCAGUGCUGCAGCUAACGCAUUAAGCAUUCCGCCUGGGGAGUACGGCCGCAAGGCUGAAACUCAAAGGAAUUGACGGGGGCCCGCACAAGCGGUGGAGCAUGUGGUUUAAUUCGAAGCUACGCGAAGAACCUUACCAGGUCUUGACAUACUAUGCAAAUCUAAGAGAUUAGACGUUCCCUUCGGGGACAUGGAUACAGGUGGUGCAUGGUUGUCGUCAGCUCGUGUCGUGAGAUGUUGGGUUAAGUCCCGCAACGAGCGCAACCCUUAUUAUCAGUUGCCAGCAUUAAGUUGGGCACUCUGGUGAGACUGCCGGUGACAAACCGGAGGAAGGUGGGGAUGACGUCAAAUCAUCAUGCCCCUUAUGACCUGGGCUACACACGUGCUACAAUGGAUGGUACAACGAGUUGCGAACUCGCGAGAGUAAGCUAAUCUCUUAAAGCCAUUCUCAGUUCGGAUUGUAGGCUGCAACUCGCCUACAUGAAGUCGGAAUCGCUAGUAAUCGCGGAUCAGCAUGCCGCGGUGAAUACGUUCCCGGGCCUUGUACACACCGCCCGUCACACCAUGAGAGUUUGUAACACCCAAAGUCGGUGAG
RNAcentral lists this ribosomal RNA (1354 nucleotides) under Enterococcus durans. RNAcentral's name for it is "16S ribosomal RNA". It matches the Rfam family "Bacterial small subunit ribosomal RNA", at positions 93 to 1434 of the family's 1533-position model. Lineage: Bacteria; Bacillati; Bacillota; Bacilli; Lactobacillales; Enterococcaceae. The record is from RNAcentral.